This 234-nucleotide ribosomal RNA is filed under the name Mantidactylus majori (Ivohimanita Madagascar frog). Its description in RNAcentral is "partial 16S ribosomal RNA". It matches the Rfam family "Bacterial large subunit ribosomal RNA", at positions 721 to 1037 of the family's 2925-position model. The record is from RNAcentral. Lineage: Eukaryota; Metazoa; Chordata; Amphibia; Anura; Mantellidae.
CUAGGUGAGCUACUUCGAAACAGUUUUAUGAACGAACCCGUCUCUGUCGCAAAAGAGUGGGAUGAUUUCUAAGUAGAGGCGACAAACCUACCGCACCUGGAGAUAGCUGGUUACUCAAGAAAAGAAUUUAAGUUCAACCUAAAGUUUUUUAAUUACACAAAACAAAACAUAAGACUUUAGAGCUACUCAAGUAAGGCACAGCUUACUUGAAUAAGGAUACAACCUACAACACAG